UGGGGAAUAUUGCACAAUGGGCGCAAGCCUGAUGCAGCAACGCCGCGUGAGGGACGACGGCCUUCGGGUUGUAAACCUCUUUUGGCAGGGAAGAAGCGAAAGUGACGGUACCUGCAGAAAAAGCACCGGCUAACUACGUGCCAGCAGCCGCGGUGAUACGUAGGGUGCAAGCGUUGUCCGGAAUUAUUGGGCGUAAAGAGCUCGUAGGCGGUUUGUCGCGUCUGCUGUGAAAACCCGAGGCUCAACCUCGGGCCUGCAGUGGGUACGGGCAAACUAGAGUGCGGUAGGGGAGAUUGGAAUUCCUGGUGUAGCGGUGGAAUGCGCAGAUAUCAGGAGGAACACCGAUGGUGUAGACGGCUUGCUAGACCAUAACUGACGCUGAGGCACGAAAGCGUGGGUAGCAAACA
Molecule: ribosomal RNA, 407 nt
Filed under: uncultured bacterium
Lineage: Bacteria
Description: bacterial SSU rRNA
Rfam family: Bacterial small subunit ribosomal RNA
Source: RNAcentral